Molecule: ribosomal RNA, 177 nt
Filed under: uncultured Microbacterium sp.
Lineage: Bacteria; Bacillati; Actinomycetota; Actinomycetes; Micrococcales; Microbacteriaceae
Description: partial 16S ribosomal RNA
Rfam family: Bacterial small subunit ribosomal RNA
Source: RNAcentral
ACUCCUACGGGAGGCAGCAGUGGGGAAUGUUGCACAAUGGGCGCAAGCCUGAUGCAGCAACGCCUCGUGUGUGAUGACGGCCUUCGGGUUGGAAACCUCUUUUAGCAGGGAAGAAGGGAAAGUGACUGUACCUGCAGAAAAAGCGCCGGCUAACUACGUGCCAGCAGCCGCGGUAAU